RNAcentral lists this ribosomal RNA (326 nucleotides) under uncultured Lyngbya sp. RNAcentral's name for it is "bacterial SSU rRNA". It matches the Rfam family "Bacterial small subunit ribosomal RNA", at positions 231 to 570 of the family's 1533-position model. The record is from RNAcentral. Lineage: Bacteria; Bacillati; Cyanobacteriota; Cyanophyceae; Oscillatoriales; Microcoleaceae.
UCGCGUCCGAUUAGCUAGUUGGUGAGGUAAAAGCUCACCAAGGCGACGAUCGGUAGCUGGUCUGAGAGGAUGACCAGCCACAUAGGGACUGAGACACGGCCCAGACUCCUACGGGAGGCAGCAGUGGGGAAUUUUCCGCAAUGGGCGCAAGCCUGACGGAGAAAAACCGCGUGAGGGAGGAAGGCACUUGCGGUUGUAAACCACUUUUAUCAGGGAAGAACAAAGUGCCGGUACCUGAGGAAUCAGCCUCGGUUAACUCCGUGCCAGCAGCCGCGGUAUUACGGAGGAGGCAAGCGUUUUCCGGAAUUAUUGGGCGUAAAGCGUCC